GGUUCCGUGGUGUAGGGGUUAACAUGCCUGCCUGUCACGCAGGAGAUCGCGGGUUCAAAUCCCAUCGGGACCG
RNAcentral lists this transfer RNA (73 nucleotides) under Listeria monocytogenes. Its description in RNAcentral is "tRNA-Asp". It matches the Rfam family "tRNA". Rfam says of the family: Transfer RNA (tRNA) molecules are approximately 80 nucleotides in length. Their secondary structure includes four short double-helical elements and three loops (D, anti-codon, and T loops). Further hydrogen bonds mediate the characteristic L-shaped molecular structure. tRNAs have two regions of fundamental functional importance: the anti-codon, which is responsible for specific mRNA codon recognition, and the 3' end, to which the tRNAs corresponding amino acid is attached (by aminoacyl-tRNA synthetases). tRNAs cope with the degeneracy of the genetic code in two manners: having more than one tRNA (with a specific anti-codon) for a particular amino acid; and 'wobble' base-pairing, i.e. permitting non-standard base-pairing at the 3rd anti-codon position. Lineage: Bacteria; Bacillati; Bacillota; Bacilli; Caryophanales; Listeriaceae. The record is from RNAcentral.